This is a long non-coding RNA of Nylanderia fulva, 599 nucleotides long. RefSeq lists it as uncharacterized. The record is from RefSeq and is a predicted model, not a curated record. Lineage: Eukaryota; Metazoa; Arthropoda; Insecta; Hymenoptera; Formicidae.
UAUAUACAUAUAAAAGUGUUAUUUUUGUCAAGUUUUUUUUAUUAAUUAAACAGUGCUUAUAUCAUCAAGAAUAAAUCCGGAAUGUCGAUCUAGGAGAUCUCAUCUCGGUGCGAUCGCGCGCGGAUGAUGACAGCAUCCGGCGCUCGCGAUGACGUCAUACGGCGGGGGCAACGGCGGUGAUGAUCGCGUACGAUGACGUCGACAAUGAUCGCGGACCGGCAGCAGAAGGAGAUGGAAUGAAAGACUCGCGAUGCGUUCGAUCACGUUGGAUCUUAAGCAAUGUUCUUCGAUCGCGAAAUGCUUGAGUGUGCGUAGUGACAUCAUCUGAAUGGGUUACACCUGUGUGGAGCGGCCACCGUGCAUUCCGGAAUCCUGGAAUGCGCGAUAGUCAAUCUGCACAUUUCCAAUUGAAAAGUUUCCAAGAGUACAUCUUCAUCGAUCGGUGAGAAGUCUCUAUAGCUUUAUAUAAAUCAUAUGAUGCAGAAUGUUAUCGUCGCAAAAUAUUGGUGGAAAGCCUGAAUUUAUCAUAAGUAUUGCGAAUAAAGCAAAAUAAUUUAGGGAAAGAUGUUCUGAUUUCGUGGAAAUUAUAUAAUUCCUUU